GCUGGGCGUGGUGGCUCAUGCCUGUGAUCCCAGCUACUCGGGAGGCUGAGACAGGAGAAUUGCUUGAACCCAGGAGGCAGAGGUUGCAGUGAGGUGAGAUGGAGCCACUGCACUCCAACCUGGGUGACAGAGCAAGACUCUGUCUCAA
Unclassified non-coding RNA from Macaca fascicularis (crab-eating macaque), 148 nucleotides. It matches the Rfam family "Metazoan signal recognition particle RNA". From Rfam's summary of the family: The signal recognition particle (SRP) is a universally conserved ribonucleoprotein. It is involved in the co-translational targeting of proteins to membranes. The record is from Ensembl. Lineage: Eukaryota; Metazoa; Chordata; Mammalia; Primates; Cercopithecidae.